RNAcentral lists this ribosomal RNA (468 nucleotides) under uncultured bacterium. Its description in RNAcentral is "partial 16S ribosomal RNA". It matches the Rfam family "Bacterial small subunit ribosomal RNA", at positions 28 to 507 of the family's 1533-position model. The record is from RNAcentral.
GACGAACGCUGGCGGCGUGCUUAACACAUGCAAGUCGAACGGAAAGGCCCUGCUUUUGUGGGGUGCUCGAGUGGCGAACGGGUGAGUAACACGUGAGUAACCUGCCCUUGACUUUGGGAUAACUUCAGGAAACUGGGGCUAAUACCGGAUAGGAGCUCCUGCUGCAUGGGGGGGGUUGGAAAGUUUCGGCGGUUGGGGAUGGACUCGCGGCUUAUCAGCUUGUUGGUGGGGUAGUGGCUUACCAAGGCUUUGACGGGUAGCCGGCCUGAGAGGGUGACCGGCCACAUUGGGACUGAGAUACGGCCCAGACUCCUACGGGAGGCAGCAGGGGGGAAUAUUGCACAAUGGGCGGAAGCCUGAUGCAGCAACGCCGCGUGCGGGAUGACGGCCUUCGGGUUGUAAACCGCUUUCGCCUGUGACGAAGCGUGAGUGACGGUAAUGGGUAAAGAAGCACCGGCUAACUACGUG